AUUGAACGCUGGCGGCAUGCUUUACACAUGCAAGUCGAACGGUAACAGGCCGCAAGGUGCUGACGAGUGGCGAACGGGUGAGUAAUGCAUCGGAACGUGCCCAGUCGUGGGGGAUAACGCAGCGAAAGCUGUGCUAAUACCGCAUACGAUCUAUGGAUGAAAGCGGGGGACCGUAAGGCCUCGCGCGAUUGGAGCGGCCGAUGUCAGAUUAGGGAGUUGGUGGGGUAAAGGCUCACCAAGCCAACGAUCUGUAGCUGGUCUGAGAGGACGACCAGCCAAACGGGGACUGAGACACGGCCCAGACUCCUACGGGAGGCAGCAGUGGGGAAUUUUGGACAAUGGGCGCAAGCCUGAGCCAGCAAUGCCGCGGGCAGGAAGAAGGCCUUCGGGUUGUAAACUGCUUUUGUACGGAACGAAACGGUCUGGGUUAAUACCUCGGGCUAAUGACGGUACCGUAAGAAUAAGCACCGGCUAACUACGUGCCAGCCGCCGCCGUAA
RNAcentral lists this ribosomal RNA (498 nucleotides) under uncultured bacterium. Its description in RNAcentral is "partial 16S ribosomal RNA". It matches the Rfam family "Bacterial small subunit ribosomal RNA", at positions 29 to 523 of the family's 1533-position model. The record is from RNAcentral.